UUCUUCCUGACUCGCACUGAUUUAAAGUCCGCGAUAUGUUCUCGGCUUAUAUGACUUGUAUGGUACGAAUCGAGCAUCUUCUCAGAAUCAACUGGAAGUGCUAAACCAAAAUUUCGGAUUUUUGUUGUAGCGCACUUUUGUCCUUGUGCUGGACUUUUUUUAAAGAUCAAAAGAGUGAUCGGAUUGCGUUUGUUUAAGACGGCUGGCAUGUUCGUCGGGGCCAAUCGACGAACGGGGUGUAAGGUUUUUGGUGGUCG
RNAcentral lists this long non-coding RNA (257 nucleotides) under Brassica napus (rape). RNAcentral's name for it is "long non-coding RNA (BNAP_LNC025384)". The record is from RNAcentral. Lineage: Eukaryota; Viridiplantae; Streptophyta; Magnoliopsida; Brassicales; Brassicaceae.